UACGGAGGGUGCAAGCGUUGUUCGGAAUUACUGGGCGUAAAGCGCGCGCAGGCGGCCUUUUAAGUCUGAUGUGAAAGCCCACGGCUCAACCGUGGAAGGUCAUUGGAAACUGAAAGGCUUGAGUACAGAAGAGGAAAGCGGAAUUCCACGUGUAGCGGUGAAAUGCGUAGAGAUGUGGAGGAACACCAGUGGCGAAGGCGGCUUUCUGGUCUGUAACUGACGCUGAGGCGCGAAAGCGUGGGGAGCAAACAGG
This 253-nucleotide ribosomal RNA is filed under the name uncultured bacterium. RNAcentral's name for it is "partial 16S ribosomal RNA". It matches the Rfam family "Bacterial small subunit ribosomal RNA", at positions 524 to 776 of the family's 1533-position model. The record is from RNAcentral.